UUCGGUCAAAUGACUUUUGAACUUAGUGGCGGACGGGUGAGUAACGCGUGAGCAACCUGCCUUUCAGAGGGGGACAACAGUUGGAAACGACUGCUAAUACCGCAUAAUGUAUUCGGAAGGCAUCUUCUGAAUACCAAAGGAGAAAUCCGCUGAGGGAUGGGCUCACGUCUGAUUAGUUAGUUGGCGAGGUAACGGCUCACCAAGACUGCGAUCAGUAGCCGGACUGAGAGGUUGAACGGCCACAUUGGGACUGAGAUACGGCCCAGACUCC
RNAcentral lists this ribosomal RNA (271 nucleotides) under uncultured Oscillospiraceae bacterium. Its description in RNAcentral is "partial 16S ribosomal RNA". It matches the Rfam family "Bacterial small subunit ribosomal RNA", at positions 67 to 339 of the family's 1533-position model. Lineage: Bacteria; Bacillati; Bacillota; Clostridia; Eubacteriales; Oscillospiraceae. The record is from RNAcentral.